GCUCCUAAAGGAUAACAGCUCAUCCAUUGGUCUUAGGAACCGAAAACUCUUGGUGCAAAUCCAAGUAGUAGCU
RNAcentral lists this transfer RNA (73 nucleotides) under Thayeria boehlkei. Its description in RNAcentral is "tRNA-Leu". It matches the Rfam family "tRNA". Rfam says of the family: Transfer RNA (tRNA) molecules are approximately 80 nucleotides in length. The record is from RNAcentral. Lineage: Eukaryota; Metazoa; Chordata; Actinopteri; Characiformes; Characidae.